AGAGUUUGAUCAUGGCUCAGAACGAACGCUGGCGGCAGGCCUAACACAUGCAAGUCGAACGUGAAGCCACCUUCGGGUGGUGGAAAGUGGCAGACGGGUGAGUAACGCGUGGGAACGUGCCUUUCGGUUCGGAAUAACCCAGGGAAACUUGGGCUAAUACCGGAUACGCCCUUCGGGGGAAAGAUUCAUCGCCGAAAGAUCGGCCCGCGUCGGAUUAGCUAGUUGGUAGGGUAAUGGCCUACCAAGGCGACGAUCCGUAGCUGGUCUGAGAGGAUGACCAGCCACACUGGGACUGAGACACGGCCCAGACUCCUACGGGAGGCAGCAGUGGGGAAUAUUGGACAAUGGGCGAAAGCCUGAUCCAGCCAUGCCGCGUGGGUGAAGAAGGCCUUAGGGUUGUAAACCCCUUUCAGCGGGGAAGAUAAUGACGGUACCCGCAGAAGAAGCCCCGGCUAACUCCGUGCCAGCAGCCGCGGUA
Molecule: ribosomal RNA, 478 nt
Filed under: uncultured Pseudomonadota bacterium
Lineage: Bacteria; Pseudomonadati; Pseudomonadota
Description: bacterial SSU rRNA
Rfam family: Bacterial small subunit ribosomal RNA
Source: RNAcentral